CUGGGCUCGAACGGCUUUGGAUCAUCUUUGGAAACAGAGACUUCUCGCAAGAGACCGGAGUCGAGGUGCUGCAUGGCUGUCGUCAGCUCGUGUCGUGAGAUGUUGGGUUAAGUCCCGCAACGAGCGCAACCCUUGUCCUGUGUUGCCACUCCCGUAAGGGAAGCACUCUCAGGAGACCGCCAGCGAUAAGUUGGAGGAAGGUGGGGAUGAUGUCAAGUCAUCAUGGCCUUUAUGUCCAGGGCUACACACGUGCUACAAUGGACGGUACAAAGCGCUGCAAACCCGCGAGGGGGAGCCAAUCGCAAAAAACCGUUCUCAGUUCGGAUCGCAGGCUGCAACUCGCCUGCGUGAAGCUGGAAUCGCUAGUAAUGGCGUAUCAGAACGAUGCCGUGAAUACGUUCCC
RNAcentral lists this ribosomal RNA (403 nucleotides) under uncultured bacterium. Its description in RNAcentral is "bacterial SSU rRNA". It matches the Rfam family "Bacterial small subunit ribosomal RNA", at positions 975 to 1375 of the family's 1533-position model. The record is from RNAcentral.